GACGAACGCUGGCGGCGUGCUUAACACAUGCAAGUCGAACGGAAAGGCCCUGCUUUUGUGGGGUGCUCGAGUGGCGAACGGGUGAGUAACACGUGAGUAACCUGCCCUUGACUUUGGGAUAACUUCAGGAAACUGGGGCUAAUACCGGAUAGGAGCUCCUGCUGCAUGGUGGGGGUUGGAAAGUUUCGGCGGUUGGGGAUGGACUCGCGGCUUAUCAGCUUGUUGGUGGGGUAGUGGCUUACCAAGGCUUUGACGGGUAGCCGGCCUGAGAGGGUGACCGGCCACAUUGGGACUGAGAUACGGCCCAGACUCCUACGGGAGGCAGCAGUGGGGAAUAUUGCACAAUGGGCGGAAGCCUGAUGCAGCAACGCCGCGUGCGGGAUGACGGCCUUCGGGUUGUAAACCGCUUUCGCCUGUGACGAAGCGUGAGUGACGGUAAUGGGUAAAGAAGCACCGGCUAACUACGUGCCAGCAGCCGCGGUGAUACGUAGGGUGCGAGCGUUGUCCGGAUUUAUUGGGCGUAAAGGGCUCGUAGGUGGUUGAUCGCGUCGGAAGUGUAAUCUUGGGGCUUAACCCUGAGCGUGCUUUCGAUACGGGUUGACUUGAGGAAGGUAGGGGAGAAUGGAAUUCCUGGUGGAGCGGUGGAAUGCGCAGAUAUCAGGAGGAACACCAGUGGCGAAGGCGGUUCUCUGGGCCUUUCCUGACGCUGAGGAGCGAAAGCGUGGGGAGCGAACAGGCUUAGAUACCCUGGUAGUCCACGCUGUAAACGGUGGGUACUAGGUGUGGGGUCCAUUCCACGGGUUCCGUGCCGUAGCUAACGCUUUAAGUACCCCGCCUGGGGAGUACGGCCGCAAGGCUAAAACUCAAAGGAAUUGACGGGGCCCCGCACAAGCGGCGGAGCAUGCGGAUUAAUUCGAUGCAACGCGUAGAACCUUACCUGGGUUUGACAUGGAUCGGGAGUGCUCAGAGAUGGGUGUGCCUCUUUUGGGGUCGGUUCACAGGUGGUGCAUGGCUGUCGUCAGCUCGUGUCGUGAGAUGUUGGGUUAAGUCCCGCAACGAGCGCAACCCUUGUUCACUGUUGCCAGCACGUUAUGGUGGGGACUCAGUGGAGACCGCCGGGGUCAACUCGGAGGAAGGUGGGGAUGACGUCAAGUCAUCAUGCCCCUUAUGUCCAGGGCUUCACGCAUGCUACAAUGGCUGGUACAGAGAGUGGCGAGCCUGUGAGGGUGAGCGAAUCUCGGAAAGCCGGUCUCAGUUCGGAUUGGGGUCUGCAACUUGACCUCAUGAAGUCGGAGUCGCUAGUAAUCGCAGAUCAGCAACGCUGCGGUGAAUACGUUCCCGGG
Molecule: ribosomal RNA, 1343 nt
Filed under: uncultured bacterium
Lineage: Bacteria
Description: 16S ribosomal RNA
Rfam family: Bacterial small subunit ribosomal RNA
Source: RNAcentral